AUGCAGUCGAGCGGAGAUGAGGUGCUUGCACCUUAUCUUAGCGGCGGACGGGUGAGUAAUGCUUAGGAAUCUGCCUAUUAGUGGGGGACAACAUUCCGAAAGGAAUGCUAAUACCGCAUACGCCCUACGGGGGAAAGCAGGGGAUCUUCGGACCUUGCGCUAAUAGAUGAGCCUAAGUCGGAUUAGCUAGUUGGUGGGGUAAAGGCCUACCAAGGCGACGAUCUGUAGCGGGUCUGAGAGGAUGAUCCGCCACACUGGGACUGAGACACGGCCCAGACUCCUACGGGAGGCAGCAGUGGGGAAUAUUGGACAAUGGGCGGAAGCCUGAUCCAGCCAUGCCGCGUGUGUGAAGAAGGCCUUUUGGUUGUAAAGCACUUUAAGCGAGGAGGAGGCUACUUAGAUUAAUACUCUAGGAUAGUGGACGUUACUCGCAGAAUAAGCACCGGCUAACUCUGUGCCAGCAGCCGCGGUAAUACAGAGGGUGCGAGCGUUAAUCGGAUUUACUGGGCGUAAAGCGUGCGUAGGCGGCUGAUUAAGUCGGAUGUGAAAUCCCUGAGCUUAACUUAGGAAUUGCAUUCGAUACUGGUCAGCUAGAGUAUGGGAGAGGAUGGUAGAAUUCCAGGUGUAGCGGUGAAAUGCGUAGAGAUCUGGAGGAAUACCGAUGGCGAAGGCAGCCAUCUGGCCUAAUACUGACGCUGAGGUACGAAAGCAUGGGGAGCAAACAGGAUUAGAUACCCUGGUAGUCCAUGC
Molecule: ribosomal RNA, 750 nt
Filed under: Acinetobacter sp.
Lineage: Bacteria; Pseudomonadati; Pseudomonadota; Gammaproteobacteria; Moraxellales; Moraxellaceae
Description: bacterial SSU rRNA
Rfam family: Bacterial small subunit ribosomal RNA
Source: RNAcentral